AGCGAACGCUGGCGGCAGGCUUAACACAUGCAAGUCGAGCAGGCACUUUCGGGUGUCAGCGGCGGACGGGUGAGUAACGCGUGGGAACGUGCCCUCUGGUUCGGAAUAACUCAGGGAAACUUGAGCUAAUACCGGAUACGCCCUUUUGGGGAAAGGCUUGCUGCCGGAGGAUCGGCCCGCGUCUGAUUAGCUAGUUGGUGAGGUAACGGCUCACCAAGGCGACGAUCAGUAGCUGGUCUGAGAGGAUGAUCAGCCACACUGGGACUGAGACACGGCCCAGACUCCUACGGGAGGCAGCAGUGGGGAAUAUUGGACAAUGGGCGCAAGCCUGAUCCAGCCAUGCCGCGUGAGUGAUGAAGGCCUUAGGGUUGUAAAGCUCUUUUAUCCGGGACGAUAAUGACGUUACCGGAGGAAUAAGCCCCGGCUAACUUCGUG
This 435-nucleotide ribosomal RNA is filed under the name uncultured bacterium. RNAcentral describes it as "partial 16S ribosomal RNA". It matches the Rfam family "Bacterial small subunit ribosomal RNA", at positions 29 to 507 of the family's 1533-position model. The record is from RNAcentral.